UCUUCUUCUUUUUUUCACUCUAGCUACUGUCUCUUUGUCUUCCACAGAAACCCUUUCACAGCAUUUGCUAGGGUUUAAGGAAUCUUCGAGUACAUACUGUAGUUGUUGUUAGCCUUACGAGAUCAACUAAAAUGCAGCCCUAUGGAAUUCAAUCAAUGCUGAAAGAAGGGCACAAGCAUCUUUCAGGUCUCGACGAAGCUGUUCUAAAAAACAUCGAUGCUUGUAAACAGCUCUCCACUAUUACUCGAACUUCUCUCGGCCCAAAUGGCAUGAAUAAGAUGGUUAUCAAUCAUCUGGACAAGCUCUUUGUCACGAAUGAUGCUGCCACUAUUGUGAAUGAGCUUGAGGUCCAGCACCCUGCUGCAAAGAUAUUGGUUUUGGCCGGAAAGGCACAGCAAGAGGAGAUUGGUGAU
RNAcentral lists this unclassified non-coding RNA (413 nucleotides) under Hevea brasiliensis (rubber tree). The record is from RNAcentral. Lineage: Eukaryota; Viridiplantae; Streptophyta; Magnoliopsida; Malpighiales; Euphorbiaceae.